This 689-nucleotide ribosomal RNA is filed under the name Lutztrema attenuatum. RNAcentral describes it as "SSU rRNA". It matches the Rfam family "Eukaryotic small subunit ribosomal RNA", at positions 140 to 756 of the family's 1831-position model. The record is from RNAcentral. Lineage: Eukaryota; Metazoa; Platyhelminthes; Trematoda; Plagiorchiida; Dicrocoeliidae.
UGGAUAACUGUAGUAAUUCUAGAGCUAAUACAUGCCACUAUGCCCUGACCCGCGAGGGAACGGGUGGAUUUAUUAGAACAGAACCAACCGGUUGUGGCCUCGGUCACUUCCGUUGCACUCUGUGAUGACUCUGGAUAACUUCACUGAUCGCAGUCGGCCUUGUGUCGGCGACGGAUCUUUCAAAUGUCUGCCCUAUCAAUUUUCGAUGGUAGGUGACCUGCCUACCAUGGUGAUAACGGGUAACGGGGAAUCAGGGUUCGAUUCCGGAGAGGGAGCCUGAGAAACGGCUACCACUUCCAAGGAAGGCAGCAGGCGCGCAAAUUACCCAAUCCCGGCACGGGGAGGUAGUGACGAAAAAUACGGAUACGGGACUCAUCAGAGGCUCCGUAAUUCGAAUGAGUACACUUUAAAUCCUUUAACGAGGAUCAACUGGAGGGCAAGUCUGGUGCCAGCAGCCGCGGUAACUCCAGCUCCAGAAGCGUAUAUUAAAGUUGUUGCAGUUAAAAAGCUCGUAGUUGGAUCUGGGUCGCAUGGCUACAUGCUGCGCUCGUAUUUCCAAUCUGGUUACGACUGGAGCGGAUUUGUGAGUCAGUGUCGUGGUUGUGCAGCCUUUUUGCCGUGUCUGGUUUCCAGGUGCUGGCUAUCGGUGGGCUCGCCUCGCCGUUUAGUUGGCAUGCUUCUCGAUGCCU